AAGACUAUUGAUUUAAUCAUCAUGUCAUUCUCGCGAAGGCAGGAAUCUCCUUAGUAUUUAAGAGAUCCCCGUGUUAAGCACGAGGAUGACUACUGUUUUUAUGAUACAUACU
RNAcentral lists this non-coding RNA (112 nucleotides) under Francisella tularensis subsp. tularensis SCHU S4. RNAcentral's name for it is "Francisella sRNA B". It matches the Rfam family "Francisella sRNA B". From Rfam's summary of the family: Deletion led to significant changes in the expression of several mRNAs. Lineage: Bacteria; Pseudomonadati; Pseudomonadota; Gammaproteobacteria; Thiotrichales; Francisellaceae. The record is from Rfam by way of RNAcentral.